RNAcentral lists this long non-coding RNA (672 nucleotides) under Triticum aestivum (bread wheat). Its description in RNAcentral is "long non-coding RNA (TAES_LNC010178)". The record is from RNAcentral. Lineage: Eukaryota; Viridiplantae; Streptophyta; Magnoliopsida; Poales; Poaceae.
UUCAAUGCAGGCUCAGUAACCUCAUUUCAGUUCCUUCUUUGUCAACUAUUUCAUCAAUGCAGGCUCAAUAACCGUCCAGACCUAAACCCGUUAUCAAAAUACUCAGGAUAUUAGCUACCGAUGAGCAUUCACAAGCGACAUAUCUAAAACAUUUAAUAAAUCUCAUGAGGUGAACACUUACUUGGAAAUACUUUGGAAGAGUGUUGUAUUUACAAGACCUCUUGAAAUGCCAGUAGGAUCAUUACAUGCCGUAGAUGUAGAACAUAUGCCGGGCAUAUUGUGCUUAAGCCACCAAAGACUUAGUCUCGGGAAUAAGUAGGUGGUCGCGUCCAACAUUGUGAUUGAUCAUUAAAAUAGUAUUCCAACUAAAAAUAUUCAAUUCUUAGUAGUAACACAGUUCUACCAGAUUGCAAUAAUACCGGAUAAGCCUCCAAAUAGGUGCAUGUUGACAAGAAAAUAUGACUGGUAUACUAAGUAUUUACUAUGUUGCAAAUAACUUAGAAUCACAAGGAAUAGUAACCGAAACAACAUCAGCCAACACCCAGCCUUCUAUAGUUCUUCAACACUUUUUUGAAUGGAUGCUUCUAAGGACACAUUUUUAAUGGAUGCUUCUGAUGGUAUUGUAUAUGCAAUCAGUGACAACAUGAGUAAAUAAUGCUUAAGAUGAUGGUG